This 76-nucleotide small RNA is filed under the name Flavobacterium hercynium. RNAcentral describes it as "Flavo-1 RNA". It matches the Rfam family "Flavo-1 RNA". The record is from Rfam by way of RNAcentral. Lineage: Bacteria; Pseudomonadati; Bacteroidota; Flavobacteriia; Flavobacteriales; Flavobacteriaceae.
CCCUAGCCCUGAUAGAAGCGACAUCCUUUUGUGGCGGGGUUCGCCACAAAAGAUAUAGCGGAUAGCAGGAUUAAGC